AAACAGGCGGGGUGGGGGGGUGAGCCCUUAUCCCCUGGGAAUCAGCCAGCUUCCGCCCUGGCUGUGGGAGCGUGGAGGGUGUUCCCUUGAGAGCCCGCCUGUGGGAAGGAAGCGAGACCCUUCUCCUGGGGACCAGCCAACCCUGCCCCGGGUCAGGAGUCCUGAGGGGAACGGGCUAGGCAGGGCUGGGUAGCGUUAGGCCUCGGUCGCAGGGUAAUGCGCCCCCGCUCUCUAGGCGGCGGCACUGAGGGGACGCUGGGGACAAGCGGCAGCCAGCCCCUGGGUGCGUCAGGAGUCAGCCCGCGCCGCGGGGGAGCCAGUCCUGCUCCUCCCCGGGGCGGGCGAGAAGGGCCCCGAGCAGGAAGAGGAGGCUCGCAGGGGACAGACGCCCCGCCUGGCGCGAGUGGGAAUUGGCCGCUCCAGUGUGUGGGGAGGGGCCGGGGAGCCGAGCCGGAACACCCCGCCCCCAGUGCGCGGGGAGAGGGAGCCGCCCCGCGCUGUGUGAGGACUCGGAAAGCGAGCCCAGCGAGCCCCCCCGUGGUGACAGUUUCUAGAAGCCCGUCCCGGCGUCCUUUGCGGUCUCAACAUGGAGGAGCUGACCGUGGAAGUGCGCGGCUCCAACGGGGCCUUCUACAAGGGAUUUAUCAAAGAUGUCCAUGAGGAUUCACUCACAGUUGUAUUUGAAAACAAUUGGCAACCAGAGCGCCAAGUUCCUUUUAAUGAAGUCAGAUUACCACCUCCACCUGAUAUCAAGAAAGAAAUAGGAGAAGGAGAUGAAGUGGAGGUGAGUUGACUCUCAUGUUUCCUUCCUAGCUUGCCCUCCUGUGGAAGUGACUGUUCAGACCGGAUAAUGUU
RNAcentral lists this long non-coding RNA (855 nucleotides) under Gopherus agassizii (Agassiz's desert tortoise). Its description in RNAcentral is "lncRNA (ENSGAGG00000017746.1)". Lineage: Eukaryota; Metazoa; Chordata; Testudines; Testudinidae. The record is from RNAcentral.